UGGGACUGAGACACGGCCCAGACUCCUACGGGAGGCAGCAGUGGGGAAUAUUGCACAAUGGGCGCAAGCCUGAUGCAGCGACGCCGCGUGAGGGAUGACGGCCUUCGGGUUGUAAACCUCUUUCGCCAGGGACGAAGCGCAAGUGACGGUACCUGGAUAAGAAGCACCGGCUAACUACGUGCCAGCAGCCGCGGUAAUACGUAGGGUGCGAGCGUUGUCCGGAAUUAUUGGGCGUAAAGAGCUCGUAGGCGGUUUGUCGCGUCGGCCGUGAAAUCUCCACGCUUAACGUGGAGCGUGCGGUCGAUACGGGCAGACUUGAGUUCGGCAGGGGAGACUGGAAUUCCUGGUGUAGCGGUGAAAUGCGCAGAUAUCAGGAGGAACACCGGUGGCGAAGGCGGGUCUCUGGGCCGAUACUGACGCUGAGGAGCGAAAGCGUGGGGAGCGAACAGGAUUAGAUACCCUGGUAGUCCACGCUGUAAACGUUGGGCGCUAGGUGUGGGCGACAUUCCACGUUGUCCGUGCCGUAGCUAACGCAUUAAGCGCCCCGCCUGGGGAGUACGGCCGCAAGGCUAAAA
This 575-nucleotide ribosomal RNA is filed under the name bacterium 3d110309. RNAcentral describes it as "bacterial SSU rRNA". It matches the Rfam family "Bacterial small subunit ribosomal RNA", at positions 314 to 899 of the family's 1533-position model. The record is from RNAcentral.